Molecule: ribosomal RNA, 492 nt
Filed under: uncultured bacterium
Lineage: Bacteria
Description: partial 16S ribosomal RNA
Rfam family: Bacterial small subunit ribosomal RNA
Source: RNAcentral
AGUGAACGCUGGCGGUAGGCCUAACACAUGCAAGUCGAACGGCAGCACAGUAAUAGCUUGCUCUUACGGGUGGCGAGUGGCGGACGGGUGAGGAAUACAUCGGAAUCUACUUUUUCGUGGGGGAUAACGUAGGGAAACUUACGCUAAUACCGCAUACGACCUACGGGUGAAAGCAGGGGAUCUUCGGACCUUGCGCGAUUGAAUGAUCCGAUGUCGGAUUAGCUAGUUGGCGGGGUAAAGGCCCACCAAGGCGACGAUCCGUAGCUGGUCUGAGAGGAUGAUCAGCCACACUGGAACUGAGACACGGUCCAGACUCCUACGGGAGGCAGCAGUGGGGAAUAUUGGACAAUGGGCGCAAGCCUGAUCCAGCCAUACCGCGUGGGUGAAGAAGGCCUUCGGGUUGUAAAGCCCUUUUGUUGGGAAAGAAAAGCAGCAGGUUAAUACCCCGCUGUUCUGACGGUACCCAAAGAAUAAGCACCGGCUAACUUCGUG